Molecule: ribosomal RNA, 475 nt
Filed under: Brochis difluviatilis
Lineage: Eukaryota; Metazoa; Chordata; Actinopteri; Siluriformes; Callichthyidae
Description: Corydoras difluviatilis partial 16S ribosomal RNA
Rfam family: Bacterial large subunit ribosomal RNA
Source: RNAcentral
GUUAAACGGCCGCGGUAUUUUGACCGUGCAAAGGUAGCGCAAUCACUUGUCUUUUAAAUGAAGACCUGUAUGAAUGGUGAAACGAGGGCUUAACUGUCUCCCUUUUCAAGUCAAUGAAAUUGAUCUCCCCGUGCAGAAGCGGGGGUGUAAAUACAAGACGAGAAGACCCUUUGGAGCUUAAGAUUAAAAUCAACUAUGUUAAAUAUUCACCAAAUAGAACUGAAUAGUAACUGAUCGUAAUCUUCGGUUGGGGCGACCACGGAAUAAAAAUAAACUUCCACAUGGAAUGAGGACUAACCUUAAAACCAAGAAAAACAUUUCUAAGUCACAGAAUUUCUGACCACACAGAUCCGGCAAGUUGCCGAUCAAUGGACCAAGUUACCCUAGGGAUAACAGCGCAAUCCCCUUUUAGAGUCCCUAUCGACAAGGGGGUUUACGACCUCGAUGUUGGAUCAGGACAUCCUAAUGGUGCAGC